Molecule: RNase P RNA, 434 nt
Filed under: Mastigocladus laminosus UU774
Lineage: Bacteria; Bacillati; Cyanobacteriota; Cyanophyceae; Nostocales; Hapalosiphonaceae
Description: RNase P RNA component class A
Rfam family: Bacterial RNase P class A
About the family: Ribonuclease P (RNase P) is a ubiquitous endoribonuclease, found in archaea, bacteria and eukarya as well as chloroplasts and mitochondria.
Source: RNAcentral
GAGAGUAGGCGUAGGCGGUUGCAGAUUAGCCCAGAGGUGGCUAGUUUGAGGAAAGUCCGGGCUUCCGAAAGACCAAACUUGCUGGGUAACGCCCAGUGCGAGCGAUCGCGAGGAUAGUGCCACAGAAAAAUACCGCCUUCUUUCAGUGAACAGUGAACAGUUAUCAGUGAACAGUAAAUAACUGAUAACUGAUAACUGAUAACUGAUAACUGAAAAGGGUAAGGGUGCAAAGGUGCGGUAAGAGCGCACCAGCAACAUCGAGAGGUGUUGGCUCGGUAAACCCCGGUUGGAAGCAAGGCGAAUGGAACUAUGGUUGGUCUUUUACCAGUUCCACAAUAAGAGCCGCUAGAGGCGUCUGGUAACAGUCGUCCCAGAUAGAUAACCGCCCUCUUGAUUUAAGAGAACAGAACCCGGCUUACUACCAACUCUUUCCC